AUUAUGGCUCAGGAUGAACGCUGGCGGCGCGCUUAAUACAUGCAAGUCGAACGAAGCACUUUGACAGAUCCCCUCGGGGUGAAGAUGAUUGUGACUUAGUGGCGGACGGGUGAGUAACGCGUGGGGAACCUGCCUCGUGCUGGGGGAUAAUAGUUAGAAAUGACUGCUAAUACCGCAUAAGCGCACAGUAAGGCAUCUUACAGUGUGAAAAGAUUUAUCGGCAUGAGAUGGACCCGCGUCUGAUUAGGUAGUUGGCGGGGUAACGGCCCACCAAGCCCGCGAUCAGUAGCCGACUUGAGAGAGUGAUCGGCCACAUUGGGACUGAGACACGGCCCAGACUCCUACGGGAGGCAGCAAUAGGGAAUAUUGCACAAUGGGGGAAACCCUGAUGCAAGCGACGCCGCGUGAGUGAUGAAGUAUUUCGGUACGUAAAACUCUAUCAGCAGGGAAGAUAAUGACGGUACCUGACUAAGAAGCCCCGGCUAACUACGUGCCAGCCGCAGC
Molecule: ribosomal RNA, 504 nt
Filed under: uncultured bacterium
Lineage: Bacteria
Description: bacterial SSU rRNA
Rfam family: Bacterial small subunit ribosomal RNA
Source: RNAcentral